This 253-nucleotide ribosomal RNA is filed under the name uncultured bacterium. RNAcentral describes it as "partial 16S ribosomal RNA". It matches the Rfam family "Bacterial small subunit ribosomal RNA", at positions 524 to 776 of the family's 1533-position model. The record is from RNAcentral.
UACGUAGGCAGCGAGCGUUGUUCGGAGUUACUGGGCGUAAAGAGCGUGUAGGCGGCCAGACAGGUCAGCUGUGAAAACUCGAGGCUCAACCUCGAGACGUCGGUUGAAACCGUCUGGCUAGAGUCCGGAAGAGGAGAGUGGAAUUCCCGGUGUAGCGGUGAAAUGCGCAGAUAUCGGGAAGAACACCCGUGGCGAAGGCGGCUCUCUGGGACGGUACUGACGCUGAGACGCGAAAGCGUGGGGAGCGAACAGG